RNAcentral lists this ribosomal RNA (468 nucleotides) under uncultured bacterium. RNAcentral describes it as "partial 16S ribosomal RNA". It matches the Rfam family "Bacterial small subunit ribosomal RNA", at positions 28 to 507 of the family's 1533-position model. The record is from RNAcentral.
GAUGAACGCUGGCGGCGUGCUUAACACAUGCAAGUCGAACGGAAAGGCCCUGCUUUUGUGGGGUGCUCGAGUGGCGAACGGGUGAGUAACACGUGAGUAACCUGCCCUUGACUUUGGGAUAACUUCAGGAAACUGGGGCUAAUACCGGAUAGGAGCUCCUGCUGCAUGGUGGGGGUUGGAAAGUUUCGGCGGUUGGGGCUGGACUCGCGGCUUAUCAGCUUGUUGGUGGGGUAGUGGCUUACCAAGGCUGUGACGGGUAGCCGGCCUGAGAGGGUGACCGGGCACAUUGGGACUGCGAGACGGAGCAGAAGGCUACGGGAGGCAGUAGGGGGGAACAUGGCACAAUGGGCGGAAGCCUGAGGCAGAAACGUUGCGUGCGGGAUGCCGGCCUUCGGGUGGUAAACCGCUUUCGCCUGUGACGAAGCGUGAGUGACGGUAAUGGGUAAAGAAGCACCGGCUAACUACGUG